GUGCGUAACGCGUAUGCAAUCUGCCUUCCACAGAGGGAUAGCCCAGAGAAAUUUGGAUUAAUACCUCAUAGUAUUAUAGAGUGGCAUCACUUUAUAAUUAAAGUCACAACGGUGGAAGAUGAGCAUGCGUCCCAUUAGCUAGUUGGCAAGGUAACGGCUUACCAAGGCGACGAUGGGUAGGGGUCCUGAGAGGGAGAUCCCCCACACUGGUACUGAGACACGGACCAGACUCCUACGGGAGGCAGCAGUGAGGAAUAUUGGUCAAUGGGCGCAAGCCUGAACCAGCCAUGCCGCGUGCAGGAUGACGGUCCUAUGGAUUGUAAACUGCUUUUGUACGGGAAGAAACACUCCCUCGUGAGGGAGCUUGACGGUACCGUAAGAAUAAGGAUCGGCUAACUCCGUGCCAGCAGCCGCGGUAAUACGGAGGAUCCGAGCGUUAUCCGGAAUCAUUGGGUUUAAAGGGUCCGUAGGCGGUCUUGUAAGUCAGUGGUGAAAGCCCAUCGCUCAACGGUGGAACGGCCAUUGAUACUGCUGGACUUGAAUUACUGGGAAGCAACUAGAAUAUGUAGUGUAGCGGUGAAAUGCUUAGAGAUUACAUGGAAUACCAAUUGCGAAGGCAGGUUGCUACCGGUGGAUUGACGCUGAUGGACGAAAGCGUGGGUAGCGAACAGGAUUAGAUACCCUGGUAGUCCACGCCGUAAACGAUGGAUACUAGCUGUUGGGGGCGACCUCAGUGGCUAAGCGAAAGUGAUAAGUAUCCCACCUGGGGAGUACGAACGCAAGUUUGAAACUCAAAGGAAUUGACGGGGGCCCGCACAAGCGGUGGAGCAUGUGGUUUAAUUCGAUGAUACGCGAGGAACCUUACCAAGGCUUAAAUGCAGACUGACCGAUUUGGAACAGAUCUUUCGCAAGACAGUUUACAAGGUGCUGCAUGGUUGUCGUCAGCUCGUGCCGUGAGGUGUCAGGUUAAGUCCUAUAACGAGCGCAACCCCUGUUGUUAGUUGCCAGCGAGUCAUGUCGGGAACUCUAGCAAGACUGCCAGUGCAAACUGUGAGGAAGGUGGGGAUGACGUCAAAUCAUCACGGCCCUUACGCCUUGGGCUACACACGUGCUACAAUGGCCGGUACAGAGAGCAGCCACCCCGCGAGGGGGAGCGAAUCUACAAAGCCGGUCACAGUUCGGAUCGGAGUCUGCAACUCGACUCCGUGAAGCUGGAAUCGCUAGUAA
RNAcentral lists this ribosomal RNA (1227 nucleotides) under Flavobacterium sp. Its description in RNAcentral is "bacterial SSU rRNA". It matches the Rfam family "Bacterial small subunit ribosomal RNA", at positions 106 to 1341 of the family's 1533-position model. Lineage: Bacteria; Pseudomonadati; Bacteroidota; Flavobacteriia; Flavobacteriales; Flavobacteriaceae. The record is from RNAcentral.